GGCAACAAAACCUUCAGACCAAUAAAAAAAAGGUUAUGUGAAGCUGCUACUUCGUUUGUCCAAGUGGAAGCUCCUGAUUGGCCGAGUUGAAACCUUUGCCCUGCCCCUAGGUAGCUCUCCCCCCGGCUUUUUUUUUUAUCUCAUUUCAGAAGUAGUAAAGCUGUGACGAGUAUUGUGCCUUAGGGAGGUCUAAGAAGAAAUGUUUUGGUCUCUGACACUUGUCAACGAUUGUGAUCGUAUCCGAAUUCAGUGCUGUAGAGGUUGAAGAAACAAGAGGUGGUUUUAGUAAGAUUUAACUCCACGCUGCUAAAUGGGAUGUUGAAUUAGAAUCGAGAGAAUUAUAACUCAAGCAUAUAUGGAACAACUAUAGUGGGACUAAAGCAAUUGUUCAAGGAGGCGGCUGUGUAUUCGCCUAAUCUACCAAGAGGUUUGGGAAACUCCAGAAGACUACAUCCG
Molecule: long non-coding RNA, 456 nt
Organism: Macrobrachium nipponense
Lineage: Eukaryota; Metazoa; Arthropoda; Malacostraca; Decapoda; Palaemonidae
Exons: 3
Source: RefSeq, a predicted model, not a curated record